GAUGAACGCUGGCGGCGUGCCUAAUACAUGCAAGUCGAGCGAACAGACGAGGAGCUUGCUCCUCUGACGUUAGCGGCGGACGGGUGGGUAACACGUGGAUAACCUACCUAUAAGACUGGGAUAACUUCGGGAAACCGGAGCUAAUACCGGAUAAUAUAUUGAACCGCAUGGUUCAAUAGUGAAAGACGGUUUUGCUGUCACUUAUAGAUGGAUCCGCGCCGCAUUAGCUAGUUGGUAAGGCAACGGCUUACCAAGGCAACGAUGCGUAGCCGACCUGAGAGGGUGGUCGGCCACACUGGAACUGAGACACGGUCCAGACUCCUACGGGAGGCAGCAGUAGGGAAUCUUCCGCAAUGGGCGAAAGCCUGACGGAGCAACGCCGCGUGAGUGAUGAAGGUCUUCGGAUCGUAAAACUCUGUUAUUAGGGAAGAACAAAUGUGUAAGUAACUAUGCACGUCUUGACGGUACCUAAUCAGAAAGCCACGGCUAACUACGUG
RNAcentral lists this ribosomal RNA (497 nucleotides) under uncultured bacterium. RNAcentral's name for it is "partial 16S ribosomal RNA". It matches the Rfam family "Bacterial small subunit ribosomal RNA", at positions 28 to 507 of the family's 1533-position model. The record is from RNAcentral.